This 1130-nucleotide ribosomal RNA is filed under the name 'Vitis vinifera' phytoplasma (Canada). RNAcentral's name for it is "bacterial SSU rRNA". It matches the Rfam family "Bacterial small subunit ribosomal RNA", at positions 208 to 1346 of the family's 1533-position model. The record is from RNAcentral. Lineage: Bacteria; Bacillati; Mycoplasmatota; Mollicutes; Acholeplasmatales; Acholeplasmataceae.
AAUAGGUAUGCUUAGGGAGGAGCUUGCGUCACAUUAGUUAGUUGGUGGGGUAAAGGCCUACCAAGACUAUGAUGUGUAGCCGGGCUGAGAGGUUGAACGGCCACAUUGGGACUGAGACACGGCCCAAACUCCUACGGGAGGCAGCAGUAGGGAAUUUUCGGCAAUGGAGGAAACUCUGACCGAGCAACGCCGCGUGAACGAUGAAGUAUUUCGGUACGUAAAGUUCUUUUAUUAGGGAAGAAUAAAUGAUGGAAAAAUCAUUCUGACGGUACCUAAUGAAUAAGCCCCGGCUAACUAUGUGCCAGCAGCCGCGGUAAUACAUAGGGGGCAAGCGUUAUCCGGAAUUAUUGGGCGUAAAGGGUGCGUAGGCUGUUAAAUAAGUUUAUGGUCUAAGUGCAAUGCUCAACAUUGUGAUGCUAUAAAAACUGUUUAGCUAGAGUAAGAUAGAGGCAAGUGGAAUUCCAUGUGUAGUGGUAAAAUGCGUAAAUAUAUGGAGGAACACCAGUAGCGAAGGCGGCUUGCUGGGUCUUUACUGACGCUGAGGCACGAAAGCGUGGGGAGCAAACAGGAUUAGAUACCCUGGUAGUCCACGCCGUAAACGAUGAGUACUAAACGUUGGGUAAAACCAGUGUUGAAGUUAACACAUUAAGUACUCCGCCUGAGUAGUACGUACGCAAGUAUGAAACUUAAAGGAAUUGACGGGACUCCGCACAAGCGGUGGAUCAUGUUGUUUAAUUCGAAGGUACCCGAAAAACCUCACCAGGUCUUGACAUGCUUCUGCAAAGCUGUAGAAACACAGUGGAGGUUAUCAGUUGCACAGGUGGUGCAUGGUUGUCGUCAGCUCGUGUCGUGAGAUGUUGGGUUAAGUCCCGCAACGAGCGCAACCCUUAUUGUUAGUUACCAGCACGUAAUGGUGGGGACUUUAGCAAGACUGCCAGUGAUAAAUUGGAGGAAGGUGGGGACGACGUCAAAUCAUCAUGCCCCUUAUGACCUGGGCUACAAACGUGAUACAAUGGCUGUUACAAAGGGUAGCUGAAGCGCAAGUUUUUGGCGAAUCUCAAAAAAACAGUCUCAGUUCGGAUUGAAGUCUGCAACUCGACUUCAUGAAGUUGGAAUCGCUAGUAAUCGCG